GAUGUUUCUAUUAAGGGUGAGGGUGUGGUGGAUUUAGGGGUUCGUGUGUCUCUCUCUUGCUCUGCAAAUUCUGAACCUGCUGCCUCGUUCAGCUGGAAGAUUAAUGAAACAGACACUGAUGUGACCACAGACACAUUCACCAUAGAUUAUACUGACUUCACACACAGUGGAGAAUACAUCUGCACAGCCUUGAAUAGUGUCACAAAGAGAAGCGCCACACAAAAACAUGCUUUACUAGUUAAAGGAGGAGGAGGAGGAGGAGGAGGGCUGUCAUCAGGGGCGAUAGCUGGGAUUGUCAUUGGGGUUUUAGUGGCAGUUGCAGGCAUUUGUGGUCUGACUGUCUAUUUAACAAAAACUAAGAAAAUCUCAAAAAUAAACCUUCGACAAAAUGGACCGGCAAGAGGAG
Sinocyclocheilus rhinocerous is the source of this 406-nucleotide long non-coding RNA. RefSeq lists it as uncharacterized. The record is from RefSeq and is a predicted model, not a curated record. NCBI's taxonomy places the organism in Eukaryota, Metazoa, Chordata, Actinopteri, Cypriniformes, Cyprinidae. The transcript has 3 exons.